Molecule: long non-coding RNA, 214 nt
Filed under: Lathyrus oleraceus (garden pea)
Lineage: Eukaryota; Viridiplantae; Streptophyta; Magnoliopsida; Fabales; Fabaceae
Description: Pisum sativum (pea) long non-coding RNA (PSAT_LNC033322)
Source: RNAcentral
UGCAGUUUCAGGUCAUCUGGGGCCCAUAAAAGUCAACUGCAAGUCAACUGAGGGCUAGGAGGUGGAGAAAUGGUUUGAGACACUUCAUUCAUGUGCCAAAGAAGGUUAUUCAACAUGUCAAAUAUCUACCUUGAGGAUUUUGAAGCCAGAUCAAAAGUUUCCCAAAAUGGAAAGUGACCUGUAAUUUCAAGUUUCCAAAAAUGGCAAGUUUUUG